CAGCCAGGUGAGGCCCAACUAUCAAUUGACACAAGUUUAUACCGAAAUGGGCAGCGGACGGUGCAGAACGCGGUUUUCACGCACGACAUCACACUGCUGUGCACUUCAGUAAUACGAAUUUAUCGAAUUUAUCGCGAUUUUCUUAAACUCUGCCACAAGGUUUUCCAAUUUGUUCCGGCUGGUGACGGUGGUUUCAGUGAACACGGGAAAGGUGUCUUUGGAAAAAUUUUACGAAAAUUUAUGAAUAAUAUUGUGGAAAAAACAUCUGAAACUCGGUGUUUACCCAAGGCUCAGAUUCUAUGGAUAUAGAGCAAACACACAUAAUUUAUUAUAAUUUAUGCGAAUUAGUGAGAGCCACGUUCGAAUAUUGCAAUAAUUCAUGUCGCGUUUUGGAUUAAUGUGCGGCGGCAAACCCAUUGAAAUUUGGAAUUAGAAGUGAGCAAAGUCGAUACUUGCAUUCUUGAGAACCGUGUGGUGUAGUACGACCCAAUGUGUUCAAGAUAUGUGCGGAUAAGAAUUGUCCAAGUGUCCGGCCUAAGGUUCGCCUGGUGAUAAUUCAUAGUUUGUGCCUACUCCAAAGUGCCAGAUAGUGACGAAGAAAUUCCACAAGAAUAUAUUAAUUUUCAUAAAUUUUAGUGAAUUGCAACAAGUGCUAGUGGACUGUGAAAAAAUGCUCGAUUGCUGCAGUUAGGGCGUACUAUCGUCUGUCAGCCGGAUAUGAUUACGACACCACAUGGUGACAAUAUUAAUUUCGAGCUCGUAUGCAAUUUGGAAUAAUCAAAAGAAUGACUUCCAUACGGCAAAUACUUUGGAUAGGCCUUCUUCUGAUAGUUACCAUUCUAUCAGAAGUUGAUGCCAUGGAUCCAAAAUUCGAUCCGUCGACACGAAUGCGUCUAGUCCUGAUUCCAGCUGAUGCCACAGUUGGGUCUGUUAUUUACAGGCUUCGUGCAACUGAUGAGGAAUUCGACUAUCCAUUAACAUUCGAAUUAACCGGGAACGUGUCGUCACCUACGGUACAAAUUGAAUCACUUCCAUGUACAAAAUAUAAUUCAGUCUGCCAAGCAAAUGUAAUACUUCUAAGGAGAUUGGAGCCAGGACGAUAUUAUGAUUUUCAGGUCUCCGUCAAGGACACAAAAGGUGGAAUGGCCACACAGCUGUGUUCAAUAACUGCAACCAAUUUCACAACGCCUCACGACACUAUUUUCCCACACAAGCCAGGAAUUAUACUGAUCCCAGAGGAUGCAAAACGUGGAACCGAAUUGGAUUACGUGAUAGCCCGUAAAAACCCACUUUUUUCUAAGCCUGUCUAUUUGGAGCUAUGGGGUUCGCCGCUGUUUGCGAUCCGCCAAAAAAUUGUUUCGCCGGAUACGACGGAGGGUACUAUUUUUCUUCUAGGACCACUUGACUUUGAGAAGCAAGCAAUGUACCACUUGACUGUUCUGGCGAAUGAUGCUUACGCGGAGCCCGGUCAAGACACGCGAAAUAUUGCGGGGCUGGAAGUCGUUGUCAUCGUACAAGAUGUCCAGGACGUGGCUCCCGUGUUUCGGGUGGCACCGCCAGUUACGAAACUUCCACCGGGACUGAUACCCGGCGAUAAGGUACUUCAAGUUCAUGCUGAAGACGGCGAUAAAGGUAAUCCGCGAGAGAUUAGAUACGGCCUCGUCUCCGAAGGAAAUCCAUUUACUUCGUUCUUCAACAUCAACGAUACUACCGGUGAAAUAUUUUUAGUACGACCUUUGGAUGAGAUAGCAGCCAUCACUCACAUCGGAGAUCCCGUCUUAUUAACAGUAAUUGCAGAGGAGGUUAAGGUUGGUCGUGACGAACCACCGGCCAUGGAUACAACUGUCGAAUUGGCAUUUUUCUUGCCGGAACGCAGUAAUUCACCGCCAUACUUCGAAAAUGAUCAUUACGUUUCUCGCAUCGAUGAAAACGCUCCACAAGGAACAGCACUCACAUUCAACGACCCAUACGUUCCUCGAGUCUACGACGACGACACAGGUAAAAAUGGAGUAUUCUCGUUGACUCUUCUAAACAACAAUGGGACUUUCGAAAUAUCACCAAAUGUCGCGGAGAGAAGUGCCUCCUUUCUAAUCCGUGUACGUGACAAUGAAUUUCUCGACUACGAGGAAAGGAAAUCUGUUGAAUUCCAGAUAUUAGCGCAAGAACUUGGACCAGCAACGAACCUCUCGGCAAUGGUUAAUGUCACCGUUUUUAUAAACGAUGUAAAUGAUAAUCCUCCGGUGUUCAGUGAAUCUAUGUACACAGUAGAAUUACCAGAAAAUAUGACGGCCGGAACGAAAGUCGUUCAGGUUCACGCUGAAGACGUUGACACUGGUAUGGGUGGUCACGUUCGUUACACACAAAUAUUAGGUUACUUGAACACCUCCCUCAACCUGGAUGCCGCGACAGGGUUAGUCACAGUAUCUACUGACAAUCAUGGAUUCGAUCGUGAAGUCAUGCCCGAGUACCACCUCUACAUCGAAGCUCGUGACAACGAGGGAACUGGAAACCGGGCCCAAGUGCCAUUAAUCAUUAAAAUGAUUGAUGUUAACGAUGAGACGCCUAUUUUCGAGAAACCCGUCUAUGAAUUUAUCCUGUCGCCAGACCUGAGAAACUUCACGACACCGGCAUUCAUCAAAGCCAUUGAUAAUGACGCCACACCCCCCAAUAACGAAGUUCGCUACGAAAUAAUUAAUGGAAAUUAUGAGAAUAAAUUCGAUUUAAAUAAGAUGACAGGCGAAAUAACCGUGCGAGAUUUGAUUGUUCUUCAAAGGAGGAACAAACGGAAGAGGAGACAGAUAAACAGUAGCAAUAAGAACGAAGAUAGUGAGGUAUUCGUGCUUACGGCUCGUGCCUAUGACUUGGGCGUCCCAGUAAGAUUCUCAACGACUACUAUAAGAAUUUAUCCACCCGAAAGUCGAGCAAGGACUGUAACAUUUAUAGUGCCAGGAUCCAAUCCGGAUAGAAAGAAGACUGAAGAAACCUUGUCCACUAUUACUGGCGGACACGUCACUAUACAAGAUAUUAGGCCGCUAGUCGGCGAUGAGCCUGGUGCUAAGAAUCUGGGCGGUGAUGCUAAGGAAAGAAGUGUCGUAACAGCAACGGUGCUUUACGAUGGUAAUUCAUUUGUAGAUAUUUCUCAAAUCCAACAACGGUUAUCACAACAUAAUAGUUCGUAUACGAUAAUGACAAGGGAGGAACAAAGUGAGACAAUCUACAGAGCUGAAAACCGACUGUUAUUUUGGCUCCUCAUUUUAUUAGCUGUUCUUAUAGCAGUAACCAUCUUAAUUUUGCUUUUGUGCUGCAUAUGCUCAUGGUGUCCGCUCUACAGUGCUGCAAGGUCGCGGAAUGGAUGGGAAGACGGGAAGCGUGGUCAGCGGAGAAGACAUCAGACCCCAGAACGAAACCGACCCGGUGGGAAUUCAGUCGCCGUGUCAACUAUAACGAAAAACUAGCUGAUGACGGUGGCGAUCAUAUUGAUAGUAUAGAAAGCGACCGUCGAGCCCGAUCCGCUGAUGAUCGCAAAAUUAGGAUUAAAAAUCAUUUAAAAGAUAUGAAUGCAGCCAAAGAAACUCAUUUCCAUAAUUCUAGAACAAACUUGAUCAAUGAUCGUGAUGCGUACAUUGAGGAUGUGGUCGAUGAACACAACGAGUCACAUAUCUAUCGCAAUCAGUAUAAA
RNAcentral lists this unclassified non-coding RNA (3679 nucleotides) under Hermetia illucens (black soldier fly). RNAcentral's name for it is "cadherin-86C, transcript variant X1". The record is from RNAcentral. Lineage: Eukaryota; Metazoa; Arthropoda; Insecta; Diptera; Stratiomyidae.